RNAcentral lists this non-coding RNA (25 nucleotides) under Rattus norvegicus (Norway rat). The record is from RNAcentral. Lineage: Eukaryota; Metazoa; Chordata; Mammalia; Rodentia; Muridae.
UGCCCCUGCAAUCACCCUCAUCGCC